Molecule: unclassified non-coding RNA, 235 nt
Filed under: uncultured fungus
Lineage: Eukaryota; Fungi
Description: sequence contains ITS1, 5.8S rRNA gene
Rfam family: 5.8S ribosomal RNA (bases 187-235)
Source: RNAcentral
UCUCCGUAGGUGAACCUGCGGAGGGAUCAUUACCGAGUGAGGGUUUUAUGACCCGACCUCCCACCCAUGUUAUUCAAACCUUUGUUGCCUCGGGGGCGACCCGCGCCUUCUGGGCGUCGGGGCCCCCGGUGGACCAUUAUCAAACACUGCAUCUCAUGCGUCGGAUACUGAAGAAAAUUUAAUCAAAACUUUCAACAACGGAUCUCUUGGUUCUGGCAUCGAUGAAGAACGCAGC